RNAcentral lists this unclassified non-coding RNA (278 nucleotides) under fungal sp. RNAcentral's name for it is "partial internal transcribed spacer region". The stretch from base 1 to 46 matches the Rfam family "Eukaryotic small subunit ribosomal RNA", at positions 1786 to 1831 of the family's 1831-position model. The record is from RNAcentral. Lineage: Eukaryota; Fungi.
AAGUCGUAACAAGGUUUCCGUAGGUGAACCUGCGGAAGGAUCAUUACCAAUUCGAGUGGAGGGUGUUUGCAAAAACACCAGCCCAACCAACCUUUGAUUGUGAACACAGAGAAUUAAAAAUCAAGUCUCCCUUUGCAUUUGUGUGAGGGGAGCAAUUUUUAUUCAACCCCAAAAUACAAAAUCUGCACUUCUCGUGUGCGGAGAAAAAGCAAGCGUUGAGCUCCGAGCAAAAUGAAAAAUGCUAUGUACAACUUUUAACGGCGGAUCUCUUGGCUCGU